GAGAGAUCCAUAGAACAAAUUGUUGCAUGGACUGUGAAAUGUUGUAUGGACUGUGAAAUAAUACGAAACAACCGUUGUACACUAAAAGCUUAAUUUAUUAGAGAAUGGUGUAUUUUUAUAUUUAACACUCUCCCUUAUGUCUUAGCUCGAGACUUUUUGUAAGGCUUAUGACGUGGACUUAAAAAACCUGGCGUGACUCGAACUCAGGACUUUCUAGUCUGAUACCUUGUGAAAUAACCGUUAUACUCUAAAAGCUUAAGCUAUUAGAGAACGAUGCAUUUUUAUAUUUAACAUGGACCAAGUAAUAGUAGUAAAAGAAAAUUAU
RNAcentral lists this long non-coding RNA (325 nucleotides) under Ananas comosus (pineapple). Its description in RNAcentral is "long non-coding RNA (ACOM_LNC026342)". Lineage: Eukaryota; Viridiplantae; Streptophyta; Magnoliopsida; Poales; Bromeliaceae. The record is from RNAcentral.